RNAcentral lists this ribosomal RNA (150 nucleotides) under Helianthus annuus (common sunflower). RNAcentral's name for it is "5.8S ribosomal RNA". It matches the Rfam family "5.8S ribosomal RNA". From Rfam's summary of the family: 5.8S ribosomal RNA (5.8S rRNA) is a component of the large subunit of the eukaryotic ribosome. It is transcribed by RNA polymerase I as part of the 45S precursor that also contains 18S and 28S rRNA. Functionally, it is thought that 5.8S rRNA may be involved in ribosome translocation. Lineage: Eukaryota; Viridiplantae; Streptophyta; Magnoliopsida; Asterales; Asteraceae. The record is from RNAcentral.
GGUUCUUUGUAAUGGAUGUAUCAAUUCAAGCAUUGAGGAUAAACGAAACAAAAUGCGAUACGUGGUGGCAAUUUGUUAAGAAUCGGAGAUUUAAAUGCAAGUUGCACAUGAAGCUGCCAAUCCGUCGAGGGCAUGAUUGCAUGGGUGUCG